GGGAGCAAACGGCAGGAUGACCAUGCCAGUUGCUCUGUCCCUUUUCCAAAGCUUUCCCAGAACUGUACCCAGAGACCCCACUCACAUCCCAGUGGCCAGACUGGAUCACAUGGCCAUUCCUACCUGCGAAGGAGGCUAAAAAAGGUGACCUUUCUAGUCUUCUGGCCUCUUCAAUAGAGGAAAGUAGAGAGAAGGGAGUUGUAAGUCUGCCCCUCCCCCACCCCGGGCGCUAAGAGAUGGGGGGUAACUCUGCAAAGCUGUCCUUCUGCCUCAAAGAUCAUUCCGCAGACACUGCUCUCUCCGUUAGAGUGUGCGGGGAAUAUUGGAAGAAAGGAAGGAUCCUUGCCCCUCCCCCAUUCACAGCAGAGCAGAACAGCAGGUUUGUCUGUUCAAAAACACAUGCCUUGGGAGUUGCUUCACUCGGGGUCAAACCUGUCUUCUCAGCAGCAAAGAUAAGGACACCAAGGCACAGAGAGGUUAAGGAAACCCUACUAAGUCAAGCUAGUAAAUGGCGGAACCUGAACUUGAAUCCACGUGGUUGGAAAUCAGAGUCCAGUGCUUACACACAAUGCUGUGCAGCAUUUUCAUGGGCAUUUACAGGUGAGGAAAAUAAGGCACAGAACCAUGAGCCAUUGAACCAUGGUCACACUGCUAACAGUGAUGAAGCCAGAAUUGGAAGCUGUUGGAAACCAAUGAACAAUUAGGAGGACAAUUGUGGUUCAAUGUACAAAGACUUGUCUCACUGGGAAAGCCACCUAACAAAGAGAUGAGCAGCCCAGUGGGGUUCUGAGUCCCCUGUGCCCAGAAACAUCCAGGAAAAGAGAUGAAAAUACUAUCUUCUAAUGCAUCCAGCUUAGGAUUCCCCGUUCUAGGGAGACUCCCCUGCUUGGGUAGGGAUUUGAUGGCCCUGCUGCUUCCUCCCCUGGUCCUCCUCUGGUCAAGGACCUCAAACUGAAAGCAGGUUAUCUUGACAUGCCCACUACUAGCUGCUGUCAUUGACGUUUGAGUUUGUUUCUAAAGGUCCCAGAUGGUUUUUGACAAUUGAAUAGCCUUUGGCUGAACCAUCAAAGCUGGUUCACGCACAUGUGGUCCUCACGCACUCAUCUGCUCAUCCAUCUGACGCUUAUUGAGCAUCUAUGAAGAGCCAGGCACUGUCUAGGUGCUAAGGAUGCAGGAGGAAGAGGAUGCAGGCCCUCCAACAGAGGCUGCUGAUGCUCCGCUCGUGAUCCACCCACCCUGGAGGUCGCUGCAGACGGGUCCCAUCCGGGCCACGGCUUCCAGCCUCUCUGUGCCCCAGAGUGCUCUCUGACCACGGCGUGCAUGGCUCAUGAGAGGAAGGGAGUCAGUGGAUAAAUGCCCAGCUUCCGUGCUCUUCAGUGGGACAAUGGGAGGUGUUCUCCUUACAGACAGUCCAUGGCUCCCCAACAGAACCGAGCCCCAGUUCUUGAAUCCACAGCAGGAACAUCAUUAAUGCUCCCUCCUAUUGUCUCUCCUCUCCUCCCUGUCUCGCUUCCUCACUCACUCACCGUGCUUCUUGGGAUCAUUUCCUUAAAGAACUACUAUCACCCAAAUCCUUGUCUCAGGAUCUGCUUUUGGGGGAACCUGUCCUCAAGGGGCUUCCGACCUCCUAGUUGGGGCAUAUGUAUUGUUACUGAGGCUGCAGAUUCACUCGAAUAAACCUCACUGAGAAAACCAGAGGCGGCUUCCUUAGGAAAGACACGCGCACCGUGUGGCUCUCCCCCCAAGUGCCUUCAGGUCAGGAUUUAACGUGGAACAAAGACAUGGGGGACGCCUGCAGGGCAAGGCCAGGCCAGCGUACGCACCGUCCAUCACCUGCACAAGAGGAGAGAAAGGACGGGAGGAGAAGGGGG
This 1871-nucleotide long non-coding RNA is filed under the name Equus caballus (horse). RNAcentral's name for it is "lncRNA (ENSECAG00000038420.2)". The record is from RNAcentral. Lineage: Eukaryota; Metazoa; Chordata; Mammalia; Perissodactyla; Equidae.